This 634-nucleotide ribosomal RNA is filed under the name Salmonella enterica subsp. enterica serovar Newport. RNAcentral describes it as "partial 23S ribosomal RNA". It matches the Rfam family "Bacterial large subunit ribosomal RNA", at positions 2202 to 2831 of the family's 2925-position model. RNAcentral also lists the same sequence under 1 other name. Lineage: Bacteria; Pseudomonadati; Pseudomonadota; Gammaproteobacteria; Enterobacterales; Enterobacteriaceae. The record is from RNAcentral.
ACCCUUUAAUGUUUGAUGUUCUAACGUGGACCCGUAAUCCGGGUUGCGGACAGUGUCUGGUGGGUAGUUUGACUGGGGCGGUCUCCUCCUAAAGAGUAACGGAGGAGCACGAAGGUUGGCUAAUCCUGGUCGGACAUCAGGAGGUUAGUGCAAUGGCAUAAGCCAGCUUGACUGCGAGCGUGACGGCGCGAGCAGGUGCGAAAGCAGGUCAUAGUGAUCCGGUGGUUCUGAAUGGAAGGGCCAUCGCUCAACGGAUAAAAGGUACUCCGGGGAUAACAGGCUGAUACCGCCCAAGAGUUCAUAUCGACGGCGGUGUUUGGCACCUCGAUGUCGGCUCAUCACAUCCUGGGGCUGAAGUAGGUCCCAAGGGUAUGGCUGUUCGCCAUUUAAAGUGGUACGCGAGCUGGGUUUAGAACGUCGUGAGACAGUUCGGUCCCUAUCUGCCGUGGGCGCUGGAGAACUGAGGGGGGCUGCUCCUAGUACGAGAGGACCGGAGUGGACGCAUCACUGGUGUUCGGGUUGUCAUGCCAAUGGCACUGCCCGGUAGCUAAAUGCGGAAGAGAUAAGUGCUGAAAGCAUCUAAGCACGAAACUUGCCCCGAGAUGAGUUCUCCCUGAGACUUAGAGUCUCCUGA